This 341-nucleotide ribosomal RNA is filed under the name uncultured archaeon. Its description in RNAcentral is "bacterial SSU rRNA". It matches the Rfam family "Archaeal small subunit ribosomal RNA", at positions 139 to 480 of the family's 1478-position model. The record is from RNAcentral.
ACUGGGGAAAUUCCGGAUAACGCAUAUUUGCUGGAAUGCUUUAUGCGUCAAAAGGAUUCCUCUGCCCAAGGAUGGGUCUGCGGCCUAUCAGGUAGUAGUGGGUGUAAUGUACCUACUAGCCAGCGACGGGUACGGGUUGUGAGAGCAAGAGCCCGGAGAUGGAUUCUGAGACAUGAAUCCCCGCCCUACGGGGCGCAGCAGGCGCUAAAACUUUACAAUGCGGGAAACCGUGAUAAGGGGACACCGAGUGCCAACAUCAUAUGCUGGCUGUCCGGAUGUGUAAAAUACAUCCGUUAGCAAGGGCCGGGCAAGACCGGUGCCAGCAGCCGCGGUAAUACGAU